RNAcentral lists this unclassified non-coding RNA (250 nucleotides) under Hevea brasiliensis (rubber tree). Lineage: Eukaryota; Viridiplantae; Streptophyta; Magnoliopsida; Malpighiales; Euphorbiaceae. The record is from RNAcentral.
CUCGCGCACAACAAACUGAAUUAAUGCCUCCAUGGCACAGGCAUAUCUGCUUCUCACUCGGCUUUUCAUAUUUCAUAAAUAUUUACUGUUAGGUUGUCAUGAUACAAAUAGGUUUAAUUAGCUCGUCAAGACUAACUAAUUGCAAGUCCAUGGCAUCACUAUCACUCGAGGAUGUUUGCUCAUCUGCUAAAUUGCUAUUUUCUCCAGUAUCAUCACCAACAUCAAGGUAGAUAUAAUCAGGAAUGCUUCC